This 684-nucleotide ribosomal RNA is filed under the name uncultured bacterium. RNAcentral's name for it is "bacterial SSU rRNA". It matches the Rfam family "Bacterial small subunit ribosomal RNA", at positions 196 to 883 of the family's 1533-position model. The record is from RNAcentral.
GGAGAUUAAAGAUUUAUCGGUGAUGGAUGGGGAUGCGUCUGAUUAGCUUGUUGGCGGGGUAACGGCCCACCAAGGCGACGAUCAGUAGGGGUUCUGAGAGGAAGGUCCCCCACAUUGGAACUGAGACACGGUCCAAACUCCUACGGGAGGCAGCAGUGAGGAAUAUUGGUCAAUGGACGAGAGUCUGAACCAGCCAAGUAGCGUGCAGGAUGACGGCCCUAUGGGUUGUAAACUGCUUUUAUAAGGGAAUAAAGUGAGUCUCGUGAGACUUUUUGCAUGUACCUUAUGAAUAAGGACCGGCUAAUUCCGUGCCAGCAGCCGCGGUAAUACGGAAGGUCCGGGCGUUAUCCGGAUUUAUUGGGUUUAAAGGGAGCGUAGGCCGGAGAUUAAGCGUGUUGUGAAAUGUAGACGCUCAACGUCUGCACUGCAGCGCGAACUGGUUUCCUUGAGUACGCACAAAGUGGGCGGAAUUCGUGGUGUAGCGGUGAAAUGCUUAGAUAUCACGAAGAACUCCGAUUGCGAAGGCAGCUCACUGGAGCGCAACUGACGCUGAAGCUCGAAAGUGCGGGUAUCGAACAGGAUUAGAUACCCUGGUAGUCCGCACGGUAAACGAUGGAUGCCCGCUGUUGGUCUGAAUAGGUCAGCGGCCAAGCGAAAGCAUUAAGCAUCCCACCUGGGGAGUAC